GUGAUACGUUUAUUGUUUCGGUGAGUAACUACAGUCCAAGUGUGUGGUACAUGUUCCUCUGCAGCUCGUCACACUCAGAUAUAUUCAUAAAAAAACAUCAUCUACAUACAUCUAAUACGAAACACGUCAGAGUGAGUCACUGCCUCAGGGACAGACGUGACCUAGUAAGUGCUGGCUCUUCAUAUGAUCACAUUAAUAUAAUAAAUCUGUGCUUAAAUAAAACCUUCUGAAAUACAAGCACACACACACACAGAGCGAGCGGCAGGCGCAGGUACGGAACACACACACACACACACCUGUGACAUCUCAGAGGAGAUUCUUUGGUUUCUUCAAAUGUCUGAUAAAUGAUGUAAAGCACAAACAAACAGCUGGAAUGUGACAAAAACAACAUGUUUAAAGGUACGACUGGGACGUCAGCGACACGUUCACGCAGCAGAGACGCUUCAAAGUGAUAAAAAAACAACAUGACCCCCGUGUAGCUUUAAGGCUAACAGUUUAAGGCACAGGUGAUGUUAGCUCACAGAGGACUCCAUGGUCAAACCGCUCAGAGUCUAAAUAAAAGUGUUUGAAACAUGAACAGAAGGAAGGAUAAAAACUACAAGACGGGAUAUUUCAAAACGUUAAUCAUCGUUAGAAUCGCCCUCUUACUCUCACAGAGCCUGACAGCGUCUGGUCUUGUUUCUAUUCAGGUUGUCGUGACGCGAGCCAGCGCUCUGCGUCGGCUUCAAAUCAUCACAACAGGAAAACUGUACGGGAGACUUCAUUACCCAGAAUCCCAGUGUGGUUAAGGAGUGAUGUCAGCCUAAAUCUGCUUCCAAGUCGAGUCACCGGACCUCCAGUCCUUGUUGAGUCUCAAGUCCAAGUCGAGUCCUCAAAGAAAAAUCUGAGCUGAGUCAAAAGUCCUGUCCCUCCCAUGAGUCAGAGUCAGAGCAAAGUUCCAAGAUGUGUUUCAGUCCCCAGAGCUAAAGUCCAAGUCGAGUCACCAAACCUCCAGUCUGAUCCUAGUUGAGUCACCAAAAUAAAUUUGAGCCAUGUCCGAGUCCUGUACCCCCGAAGAGGUGGGGAAGGUCCAGAAGGUUGAGUCUAAGCAAAGUUCCAAGUUAAGUCUCGAGUCCAAGUCGAAUCACCAAACUUCAAGUCCCAGUUGAGUCUCUAGUCCCCAGAGCUCAGGUCCAAGUCGAGUUACCAAACCUCCAGUCCCUGGUUGAGUCUUUAGGUCCCCAGUGCUAGAUUCACCAAACCUCGAGUCCAGGUCGAGUCACCGAAGAGUCUGAGUCCAGUCCCUACUAUCCUAGCCUCAGUCCGAGUCCUCAAGUUUGAGUCUGAGCUCCAGAUGGGUUUUUUUUAACAGUAAGGCAACAACUACAGCUCUCAUAAUUCAUUUUGUCUUAAAUAUGAUGAGAGCUACAGCAACAUGCUAACAUGCUAAAGCUUGUUCUGAGUUACUGACAUGUUUACUGUCGUUUAUAUUUCCAAUAAGCAGAUCGAUUUAUUGAUUUAUCGAUUUAUCAAAUAAAAAUGUAUAAAAUUAAUAGUUCUUCGUGAU
Labrus mixtus (cuckoo wrasse) is the source of this 1546-nucleotide long non-coding RNA. RefSeq lists it as uncharacterized. The record is from RefSeq and is a predicted model, not a curated record. NCBI's taxonomy places the organism in Eukaryota, Metazoa, Chordata, Actinopteri, Labriformes, Labridae. The transcript has 2 exons.